Molecule: long non-coding RNA, 1040 nt
Filed under: Hordeum vulgare
Lineage: Eukaryota; Viridiplantae; Streptophyta; Magnoliopsida; Poales; Poaceae
Description: long non-coding RNA (HVUL_LNC000502)
Source: RNAcentral
UUUCAGCUAAUUCUUUGGCCUAAAAACUACCACUUUCAAGUAGUGGUCCUUCUAUAUGAUCUACACGCGUUUAUGACAAGGGAAGCUCACCUGUCAGGACAGACGUGGUGAAAAAGUCAACUCUAUUUAUUUUUAUUAUUAUAUUUACUGUUAUUACAGAUAGAACUCACACGUCAUCAUAAACCUUUCUCUUCACCCUCUUUCUAUUUUACAUUUCAGCAAGCAUCAUGUGUACAUCGGACAGCACCACCACAGACCACGUGGACGCUUGCGAGAGGAACAGCUGCAGCAGUGGUCGCUUGCGAGAGGAGCAGCUGCAGCAGUGGAUGCAGGUUCUUGUGAGGGAGUUGCCGUCGAAAUCAAGAACCCAUCGGGACAUUUCACACUGCUCCCUCCAUUCUUAAAUACAAUAUUUUUAAAAAUAAUUAUUAAAAAUACAUAUAAUGUACUCCCAUCCAUUUCUAAAUACGAAGUAUAAGUCUUUUAAGAAGUUUCACUAAAGCGACUAUAUACGAAUGUAUAUAUAGACAUAUUUUAAAAUAUAUAUCUAUCCAUUUUAUUUUGUAUGUAGUCUUUUAAUAAAAUUUCUAAAAAAAAUUAUAUUUAAAAAUGAAGGGAGUAGCUUAUAAUAAAAAAAUUAAAAGGUUCCAUUUUAGAAAGGGAGGGAGUAGAAGAUAUAUGUGACCAGGACACUUAACACGUAAGCUACCCAUCUUGGGUGGCGAAUCGAACUAGACGGAUUAGGCCGCCUGACCUUCUCCGCGGUUGAACUGCUUUAUCUUCUCCUCGAUGUACUUCCUGAUGUCUUCGGCCGAGAACACGCGACGAGGUCUCGGCGGCAGCAGACCGGAAGAGCGGCCGUCGUUUGUGGCUGCUAGUUUCUCGACCUUCUCGACCCUCACCUCGCCGCCGUCUGCCCAAGCGGCGGCGCCCGUGUCACGAGGCAUCUCAGUCUUGUUUUACUUCUGUCGAGACGAGGAUCGCAGCAGCUAACUAGCUAAUCUGGGUUCGUUGUUGUGCUACCUUGCUUUGCUUGGCAC